This 221-nucleotide unclassified non-coding RNA is filed under the name uncultured Wallemia. RNAcentral describes it as "sequence contains ITS1". The stretch from base 1 to 104 matches the Rfam family "5.8S ribosomal RNA", at positions 50 to 154 of the family's 154-position model. The record is from RNAcentral. Lineage: Eukaryota; Fungi; Basidiomycota; Wallemiomycetes; Wallemiales; Wallemiaceae.
GAAAUGCGAUAAGUAAUGUGAAUUGCAGAUACAGUGAAUCAUCGAAUCUUUGAACGCAAAUGGCACUCUAUGGUAUUCCGUAGAGUACGUCUGUUUGAGCGUCGCGAACAUCUCCAUAAUUAGUUUUCUUUCUCGCUCAGGGCGUGUAGUGGGUGCUAGCCGUGAAACCCCUUUUUCACAAGGUUGACCUCGGAUCAGGUAGGAAUACCCGCUGAACUUAA